This 474-nucleotide ribosomal RNA is filed under the name uncultured bacterium. RNAcentral describes it as "bacterial SSU rRNA". It matches the Rfam family "Bacterial small subunit ribosomal RNA", at positions 326 to 793 of the family's 1533-position model. The record is from RNAcentral.
ACGCUAUCACUCCUACGGGAGGCAGCAGUAGGGAAUUUUCCGCAAUGGACGAAAGUCUGACGGAGCAAUGCCGCGUGAGUGAUGAAGGUUUUCGAAUCGUAAAGCUCUGUUGUAAGGGAAGAAUAGCAAGGAUAGGAAAUGCUCCUUGUCUGACGGUACCUUACCAGAAAGCCACGGCUAACUACGUGCCAGCAGCCGCGGUAAUACGUAGGUGGCAAGCGUUAUCCGGAAUUAUUGGGCGUAAAGCGCAUGUAGGCGGGCCGGUAAGUCAGGGGUGAAAGUCUGUAGCUCAACUAUAGAACUGCCUUUGAUACUGCCGGUCUUGAGUCACGGUGAAGUUGCCGGAAUAUGUGGUGUAGCGGUGAAAUGCAUAGAUAUCACAUAGAACACCGAUUGCGAAGGCAGGUGACUAACCGUGUACUGACGCUGAUGGACGAAAGCGUGGGGAGCAAACAGGAUUAGAUACCCUGGUAG